GAUGAACGCUGGCGGCGUGCCUAACACAUGCAAGUCGAACGAAUCGCCUUACCGUAUUCUUCGGAUGAAGGUCUGGUGACUGAGUGGCGGAUGGGUGAGUAACUCGUGGUUAACCUGCCCUGUACAGGGGGAUAACAGCUGGAACCUGCUUCUAAUACCGCAUAGGCGCACGAGUAGACAUCUCCCUGUGUGAAAAACUCCUAUGUCACAGUAUGGGCCCGCGGCUGAUUAGCUGGUUGGCAGGGUAACGGCCUACCAAGGCAACGAUCAGUAGCCGGUCUGAGAGGAAGAACGGCCACAUUGGAACUGAGACACGGUGCAAACUCCUACGGGAGGCAGCAGUGGGGAAUAUUGCACAAUGGGGGAAACCAUGAUGCAGCAACGCCGCGUGAGUGAAGAAGUAUUUCGGUAUGUAAAGCACUAUCAGCAGGGAAGAUAAUGACGGUACCUGAAGAAGAAGCUCCGGCUAAAUACGUG
This 477-nucleotide ribosomal RNA is filed under the name uncultured bacterium. RNAcentral's name for it is "partial 16S ribosomal RNA". It matches the Rfam family "Bacterial small subunit ribosomal RNA", at positions 28 to 507 of the family's 1533-position model. The record is from RNAcentral.